This 659-nucleotide unclassified non-coding RNA is filed under the name Hevea brasiliensis (rubber tree). The record is from RNAcentral. Lineage: Eukaryota; Viridiplantae; Streptophyta; Magnoliopsida; Malpighiales; Euphorbiaceae.
GUUCUUCCCUUCAAAUUAUGAAGGUAUGCUACCAUGAAUUUGCUAAAUAUAUCAAGAUAUUUGUUUGUUUAUACCUUAGAAUUAUAAUUUGGAGCUAAUUAAGUUGAGCCAAUGAUUUUAAUUUUGAGCAAUCUUAGUCAUGUAUUUAGGUAAUAGUUAUAUGAAAGAUGUUGGAGGUAGUUGUUUUGUUCUUGGUUUGCUUUUCAUAUGGACUUCCUAACUCUUAGAAAUAUAGUGGUUAUAUAUGAAAGAAUCCUGAAAAGAGAUUUAUGGUGAAUUUAUACUUAAAAUGGUAGUAAGAGUUGUAUACAAUUUGCCUUUUUGGAAAGCAAGAUAAAAUGCUUAUUUUUACUGGAUUAAGAAGAGUGCAUUGUUAGCUUAAAUUUGCUAAUUUAAUCAUAUGAAAUAAUUAAAAUAAUAAGUUUAGAAGGAAGAGAAAGGUUAUAAAUAAAGGAGAAGGAAAGGGAGAAGGAUGGUGAAUAGGAGCAGAAAUAAUGAUUGAGCAAGGUUAGCAACUUUGUCUUCCAUCCACGUGAGUUUGGUGCAUCCUUCAUUGUUGAUUUUUGAAUAUGUUUGUGGAUAUUUUUGAGGUCUAUAUGUCUAGAAUUUAUGGUUAAAAUUUGGUAAUUUUUCAUCGGUUGGAUUUGGAGAAAUAAAUU